GAUGAACGCUGGCGGCGUGCCUAAUACAUGCAAGUCGAGCGAACAGACGAGGAGCUUGCUCCUCUGACGUUAGCGGCGGACGGGUGAGUAACACGUGGAUAACCUACCUAUAAGACUGGGAUAACUUCGGGAAACCGGAGCUAAUACCGGAUAAUAUAUUGAACCGCAUGGUUCAAUAGUGAAAGACGGUUUUGCUGUCACUUAUAGAUGGAUCCGCGCCGCAUUAGCUAGUUGGUAAGGUAACGGCUUACCAAGGCAACGAUGCGUAGCCGACCUGAGAGGGUGAUCGGCCACACUGGAACUGAGACACGGUCCAGACUCCUACGGGAGGCAGCAGUAGGGAAUCUUCCGCAAUGGGCGAAAGCCUGACGGAGCAACGCCGCGUGAGUGAUGAAGGUCUUCGGAUCGUAAAACUCUGUUAUUAGGAAAGAACAAAUGUGUAAGUAACUAUGCACAUCUUGACGGUACCUAAUCAGAAAGCCACGGCUAACUACGUG
RNAcentral lists this ribosomal RNA (497 nucleotides) under uncultured bacterium. RNAcentral describes it as "partial 16S ribosomal RNA". It matches the Rfam family "Bacterial small subunit ribosomal RNA", at positions 28 to 507 of the family's 1533-position model. The record is from RNAcentral.